UACGUAGGGGGCAAGCGUUGUCCGGAAUCAUUGGGCGUAAAGAGCGUGUAGGCGGCCAGAUAAGUCCGCUGUGAAAACUCGGGGCUCAACCCCGAGCGUGCACCCGAUACUGCCGGGCUUGAGGCAGGUAGGGGAGAUCGGAAUUCCUGGUGUAGCGGUGAAAUGCGCAGAUAUCAGGAGGAACACCGGUGGCGAAGGCGGAUCUCUGGGCCUGUCCUGACGCUGAGGCGCGAAAGCUAGGGGAGCGAACAGG
RNAcentral lists this ribosomal RNA (253 nucleotides) under uncultured bacterium. RNAcentral's name for it is "partial 16S ribosomal RNA". It matches the Rfam family "Bacterial small subunit ribosomal RNA", at positions 524 to 776 of the family's 1533-position model. The record is from RNAcentral.